UUUGGUAUCUUAGUGGCGGACGGGUGAGUAACGCGUGGGUAACCUGCCUUACACUGGGGGAUAACACUUAGAAAUAGGUGCUAAUACCGCAUAACAGGGAAAGAUGCAUGUCUUUUCCUUGAAAACUCCGGUGGUGUAAGAUGGACCCGCGUCUGAUUAGCUGGUUGGCGGGGUAACGGCCCACCAAGGCGACGAUCAGUAGCCGGCCUGAGAGGGUGAACGGCCACAUUGGGACUGAGACACGGCCCAAACUCCUACGGAAGGCAGCAG
This 270-nucleotide ribosomal RNA is filed under the name uncultured bacterium. Its description in RNAcentral is "partial 16S ribosomal RNA". It matches the Rfam family "Bacterial small subunit ribosomal RNA", at positions 83 to 354 of the family's 1533-position model. The record is from RNAcentral.